RNAcentral lists this ribosomal RNA (626 nucleotides) under Rhizopus microsporus. RNAcentral's name for it is "LSU rRNA". It matches the Rfam family "Eukaryotic large subunit ribosomal RNA", at positions 75 to 631 of the family's 3401-position model. The record is from RNAcentral. Lineage: Eukaryota; Fungi; Mucoromycota; Mucoromycetes; Mucorales; Rhizopodaceae.
UUUCCCUAGUAACGGCGAGUGAACAGGAAAAAGCUCAAAGUUGGAACCUGUUUGGCCUAGCUAAACCGGAUUGUAAACUGUAGAAGUGUUUUCCAGGCAAGCCGGACCGAUAAGUCCUUUGGAACAGGGCAUCAUAGAGGGUGAGAAUCCCGUCUUCGGUCUGAGCAUUUGCCUUUUGCGAUACACUUUCAAAGAGUCAGGUUGUUUGGGAAUGCAGCCUAAAUUGGGUGGUAAAUCUCACCUAAAGCUAAAUAUUGGCGAGAAACCGAUAGCGAACAAGUACCGUGAGGGAAAGAUGAAAAGAACUUUGAAAAGAGAGUUAAACAGUAUGUGAAAUUGUUAAAAGGGAACCGUUUGGAGCCAGACUGGCUUGUCUGUAAUCAGUCUAAGUUUCGGCUUGGAUGCACUUGCAGGCUAUGCCUGCCAACGACAAUUUGGCUUGAGGGAAAAAACUAGGGGAAAUGUGGCCCAUUCGUGGGUGUUAUAGUCCCUUAGAAAAUACCUUGGGCUGGAUUGAGGUACGCAGCGAAUGCUAUUUGGCGAGUUGGCUGGGAAUAUUUUCUGAGGUGCUCCGGUACUGAGGUUGAUAUUUCCAGUUACACUUCUAUUCGCUUAGGUUGUUGGCU